This 253-nucleotide ribosomal RNA is filed under the name uncultured bacterium. RNAcentral describes it as "partial 16S ribosomal RNA". It matches the Rfam family "Bacterial small subunit ribosomal RNA", at positions 524 to 776 of the family's 1533-position model. The record is from RNAcentral.
UACGUAGGGGGCAAGCGUUGUCCGGAUUUAUUGGGCGUAAAGAGCGUGUAGGCGGUUUGGUAGGUCCGCUGUGAAAACUCGAGGCUCAACCUCGAGACGCCGGUGGAAACCAUCAGACUAGAGUCCGGAAGAGGAGAGUGGAAUUCCUGGUGUAGCGGUGAAAUGCGCAGAUAUCAGGAAGAACACCCGUGGCUAAGGCGGCUCUCUAGGCAUGUCCUGACGCUGAGGAGCGAAAGUGUGGGGAGCGAACAGG